AGUCGAACGGUGAAGCAGGAGCUUGCUCUUGUGGAUCAGUGGCGAACGGGUGAGUAACACGUGAGCAACCUGCCCCUGACUCUGGGAUAAGCGCUGGAAACGGCGUCUAAUACUGGAUAUGUGACGUGACCGCAUGGUCUGCGUUUGGAAAGAUUUUUCGGUUGGGGAUGGGCUCGCGGCCUAUCAGCUUGUUGGUGAGGUAAUGGCUCACCAAGGCGUCGACGGGUAGCCGGCCUGAGAGGGUGACCGGCCACACUGGGACUGAGACACGGCCCAGACUCCUACGGGAGGCAGCAGUGGGGAAUAUUGCACAAUGGGCGAAAGCCUGAUGCAGCAACGCCGCGUGAGGGAUGACGGCCUUCGGGUUGUAAACCUCUUUUAGCAGGGAAGAAGCGAAAGUGACGGUACCUGCAGAAAAAGCGCCGGCUAACUACGUGCCAGCAGCCGCGGUAAUACGUAGGGCGCAAGCGUUAUCCGGAAUUAUUGGGCGUAAAGAGCUCGUAGGCGGUUUGUCGCGUCUGCUGUGAAAUCCCGAGGCUCAACCUCGGGCCUGCAGUGGGUACGGGCAGACUAGAGUGCGGUAGGGGAGAUUGGAAUUCCUGGUGUAGCGGUGGAAUGCGCAGAUAUCAGGAGGAACACCGAUGGCGAAGGCAGAUCUCUGGGCCGUAACUGACGCUGAGGAGCGAAAGGGUGGGGAGCAAACAGGCUUAGAUACCCUGGUAGUCCACCCCGUAAACGUUGGGAACUAGUUGUGGGGUCCAUUCCACGGAUUCCGUGACGCAGCUAACGCAUUAAGUUCCCCGCCUGGGGAGUAC
Molecule: ribosomal RNA, 815 nt
Filed under: Microbacterium sp. CUA-854
Lineage: Bacteria; Bacillati; Actinomycetota; Actinomycetes; Micrococcales; Microbacteriaceae
Description: bacterial SSU rRNA
Rfam family: Bacterial small subunit ribosomal RNA
Source: RNAcentral